RNAcentral lists this ribosomal RNA (601 nucleotides) under Pungitius platygaster (Ukranian stickleback). Its description in RNAcentral is "partial 16S ribosomal RNA". It matches the Rfam family "Bacterial large subunit ribosomal RNA", at positions 1802 to 2612 of the family's 2925-position model. The record is from RNAcentral. Lineage: Eukaryota; Metazoa; Chordata; Actinopteri; Perciformes; Gasterosteidae.
GUUACCAAAAACAUCGCCUCUUGUAAUAAAAAAAUAAGAGGUCCCGCCUGCCCUGUGACUAUAAGUUUAACGGCCGCGGUAUUUUGACCGUGCGAAGGUAGCGCAAUCACUUGUCUUUUAAAUGAAGACCUGUAUGAAUGGCAUAACGAGGGCUUAACUGUCUCCUUUUUCCAGUCAAUGAAAUUGAUCUCCCCGUGCAGAAGCGGGGAUAAAUACAUAAGACGAGAAGACCCUAUGGAGCUUUAGACACUAAAGUGGAUCAUGUCAAUAACCCCUAAACAAAGGGCUGAACCUAAUGGAACCCACCCUGAUGUCUUUGGUUGGGGCGACCGCGGGGAACUAAACAACCCCCAUGUGGAAUGGGAGCACCCCUCCUACAGCUGAGAGUUACAACUCUAAUAAACAGAAUUUCUGACCAAAAAGAUCCGGCAAAGCCGAUCAACGGACCUAGUUACCCUAGGGAUAACAGCGCAAUCCUCUUUUAGAGCCCAUAUCGACAAGGGGGUUUACGACCUCGAUGUUGGAUCAGGACAUCCUAAUGGUGCAGCCGCUAUUAAGGGUUCGUUUGUUCAACGAUUAAAGUCCUACGUGAUCUGAGUUC